AUUCAAAGGCUCCUUGUUAUUCAGAUUCCUUUGUUAAGUGUCAGGUUAACCGGCUGGACCUGUGGCCUCCCUCCUAUCGUCUCAUCUGCCUGUUAAUCUUACUUGUUCAUUUCUGUCUGCCAAUGAGAAUAGGAACAGGUCAAGCUGUGUGUGCAGUGUAUGCAAAAUGAUGUUGCUGUUUUUGUCCAAGGAGGAGUCCUGUACCUUCUGGCUUCUUGAAAGAAAAGAAAAGGCCUAUUAAGAAGGCCAGGUUGUUUACAUGGUGAAUGAAGCUGAGCGCUGAAGAACUGAUGCUUUUGAACUGUGGUGUUGGAGAAGACUCUUGAGAGUCCCUUGGACUGCAAGGAGACCCAACCAGUCCAUUCUAAAGGAGAUCAGUCCUGGGUGUUCAUUGGAAGGACUGAUGUUGAAGCUGAGACUCCAAUACUUUGGCCACCUGAUGCGAAGAGCUGACUGAUUUGAAAAGACCCUGAUGGGAAAGAUUGAAGCAGUGUUAUACGUGCAUUUCAUCUGUUGGAAAAAAUGAGUGCAAUGAUGUGUCAAUUGAUGCUUUUGAACUGUGGUGUUGGAGAAGACUCUUGAGAGUCCCUUGGACUGCAAGGACAUCCAACCAGUCCAUUCUAAAGGAGAUCAGUCCUGG
This is a long non-coding RNA of Bos taurus (domestic cattle), 640 nucleotides long. The record is from Ensembl. Lineage: Eukaryota; Metazoa; Chordata; Mammalia; Artiodactyla; Bovidae.